AUUGAACGCUGGCGGCAGGCCUAACACAUGCAAGUCGAGCGGAUGAAUGGAGCUUGCUCCUGGAUUCAGCGGCGGACGGGUGAGUAAUGCCUAUGAAUCUGCCUGGUAGUGGGGGAUAACGUCCGGAUACGGGCGCUAAUACCGCAUACGUCCUGAGGGAGAAAGUGGGGGAUCUUCGGACCUCACGCUAUCAGAUGAGCCUAGGUCGGAUUAGCUAGUUGGUGGGGUAAAGGCCUACCAAGGCGACGAUCCGUAACUGGUCUGAGAGGAUGAGCAGUCACACGGGAACUGAGACACGGCCCAGACUCCUGCGGGAGGCCGCAGUGGGGAAUAUUGGACAAUGGGCGAAAGCCUGAUCCAGCCAUGCCGCGUGUGUGAAGAAGGUCUUCGGAUUGUAAAGCACUUUAAGUUGGGAGGAAGGGCAGUAAGUUAAUACCUUGCUGUUUUGACGUUACCAACAGAAUAAGCACCGGCUAACUUCGUG
RNAcentral lists this ribosomal RNA (484 nucleotides) under uncultured bacterium. Its description in RNAcentral is "partial 16S ribosomal RNA". It matches the Rfam family "Bacterial small subunit ribosomal RNA", at positions 30 to 507 of the family's 1533-position model. The record is from RNAcentral.